UAUCUCUGUAGAGUCUGCAUAUCAAUAAGCGGAGGAAAAGAAACUAACAAGGAUUCCCUUAGUAACGGCGAGCGAAGCGGGAAGAGCUCAAAUUUGAAAUCUUCAAGGUUCUACCUUGGCGAAUUGUAGUUUAAAGAAGUGUUUUCUGUUAGAUGAGUAGCAAAAGUUCCUUGGAAUGGGACAUCAUAGAGGGUGAGAAUCCCGUAUUUGGUUAUUCAUUCUAGCUUUGUGAUACACUUUCAAAGAGUCGGAUUGUUUGGGAAUGCAGUCCAAAAUGGGUGGUAAAUUUCAUCUAAAGCUAAGUAUUGGCGAGAGACCGAUAGCGAACAAGUACCGUGAGGGAAAGAUGAAAAGAACUUUGAAAAGAGAGUUAAACAGUACGUGAAAUUGUCAAAAGGGAAGCGUUUGACACCAGUGUUGUUUUUCCGAAAAUCAAUUACGAAUGGCUUGAUUCUGUGUUGUAUUGACCUUAUCAGCUUUCUUCACUUUUUUCGAGUCUUUCUUAAUACACUUUUCGGUUAACAAGUCAACAUCAAUUUCUUUUGUUGUAAAAGAGUAUUCGGAAGGUGGCUUUCUUUUCGGAGAAAGUGUUUAUAGCCCUAUACUUCUACAAUCGGAGAGAUUGAGGUCUGCAGCGUAGAUCCUUCGGGGUUAGAUACACUUGUGCUAAGUUGUAGCUUUUCAUAGACAACUUGUUGACUAUGUUUAGUCAUGCGGCUUACUCGCUUAUGCUAUUUUACCUACGCUUAGGAUGUUGAAGAUGUAGCACAUCAU
This 774-nucleotide ribosomal RNA is filed under the name uncultured Neocallimastigales. Its description in RNAcentral is "partial large subunit ribosomal RNA". It matches the Rfam family "Eukaryotic large subunit ribosomal RNA", at positions 24 to 643 of the family's 3401-position model. The record is from RNAcentral. Lineage: Eukaryota; Fungi; Neocallimastigomycota; Neocallimastigomycetes; Neocallimastigales.